This 459-nucleotide ribosomal RNA is filed under the name uncultured bacterium. RNAcentral describes it as "partial 16S ribosomal RNA". It matches the Rfam family "Bacterial small subunit ribosomal RNA", at positions 339 to 795 of the family's 1533-position model. The record is from RNAcentral.
CUACGGGGGGCUGCAGUGAGGAAUGUUGGUCAAUGGGUGCGAGCCUGAACCAGCCAUCCCGCGUGCAGGAUGACGGCCCUAUGGGUUGUAAACUGCUUUUCUAUGCCAAGAAACCUGAUUACGUGUAAUCAGUUGCCGGUAGCAUAGGAAUAAGCAUCGGCUAACUCCGUGCCAGCAGCCGCGGUAAUACGGAGGAUGCAAGCGUUAUCCGGAUUCAUUGGGUUUAAAGGGUGCGCAGGUGGGCUUGUAAGUCAGUGGUGAAAUGCUGCCGCUUAACGGUAGAACUGCCAUUGAUACUGCGAGUCUUGAGUAUGGUUGAGGUAGGCGGAAUGUGUUGUGUAGCGGUGAAAUGCAUAGAUAUGACACAGAACGCCAAUUGCGAAGGCAGCUUACUAAGCCAUUACUGACGCUGAGGCACGAAAGCGUGGGGAGCGAACAGGAUUAGAUACCCGCGUAGUC